This is a long non-coding RNA of Drosophila innubila, 591 nucleotides long. RefSeq lists it as uncharacterized. Lineage: Eukaryota; Metazoa; Arthropoda; Insecta; Diptera; Drosophilidae. The transcript has 3 exons. The record is from RefSeq and is a predicted model, not a curated record.
CACAUCAGGCUGAAAGUGCUAUAAUAAACAGCAAAAUUAAUUCCAGCAACAUUUUGGGCUUAACAAACCAUUUAUAUGGUUGCUCCUAUUUCUGUAAAGGGCAGCACCAAAGAAAAAGUAUCUUAAGAUGUGUGGAUUCGGUUGUGGCAGCUAUGGCUUUGGACCCUGGGGUGCAUGUGGACCCUGGUCUGGCGGAUGCUUUGGUGGCUGUGGUCCCUGUGGCGGAUGUGGACCAUGUGGUGGAUAUGGACCAUGUGGUGGCUGCGGACCAAGGGGCUGUGGACCUUCCGGUCCAGCCUGUUGGCCCUUCGGUUUAUAUACGUGCUGAGCUUUGGAAAGAAAUUAGGAGCAAUCCCGCAACACAGUGUGUAAUGCCUUAACCAACUUCCCGGAACUAGAUGGGAUUGCGUGUCUACAUGAAUCUUGGAUUAUUGGGUUUUGCUCUGUGGCAAGGCAACAAAACAACAAACAACAAGAUUACUCUUUAUAUGGGCACAUGCCAUAUGGAUCGAUGCUACAGAUUACAUUCUAACCAAUUCUGUAACUAUGACGUAAAAGCAACACCAAUAAAAUCGUAUCGUCUUAAAGCAA